UCUCACCGUUCUGAAGGCUGGAAUCCAAAAUCAAGGUGCUGGCAGGGCUGGUGUCUCCUGAGGCCUCUCUUCUCAGCUUGUAGACAGGUGCCUUCUUUCUCUGUCCCCAGGUGGCCUUUCCUUUCUGUGUGAGCAUUGCUAGGGUCUCUGCCUCUUCUCGUAAGAAAGCUAGUUCUGUGAGACAAGAGCCCCAUACUUACGAUCUCAUUUAACCUUAUUUACCUUAUUAAAAGACCCCAUCUCCAAACAAACGUUAAGGUUUCAACAUAUAAAUUGUGAGGGAACAAUUCGGCACAUAACACACAGAUGUAUGUAUGUGGGGAACAGGAAGAAAGGAAGGUUAGCUAGAAUAUUGGUCAGGGAAGUUUGAAAAGUAAGUUGAAAGCUAGUCUUUUGAAUGUUACGUUUGAAGGGUUUUGUGUGUGUGUGCGGGUAAUGGAAAGGUUUGAAAGGUUUGCCCACAGUGCAUAAUUAUGAGUUUUAGAAAUGAAAACAAUGGCAGGAGAGAUGAGGUAUUAAUGCAGAAAGGAGCUGAAGUAUCAGAAGGUGUAAGAGGGCCUGAAUUAAAGUGGUGGGGCUGGAAGGCAGGUGAAGUGGCUAAGUUAAUCGACAUUUGAGAAGGAGGGGAGAGGAGCAAAGGAACUGUGGUGGGGCGUGAGUGUGCUCCUGAAGCAGGGACGUUGUUGUGUGUGCUGGCGUCGGGGCUGGGAGCGUGCCCGGAGCUGCAGCCUUGGACACCAUAAGCCCAGAAGUGAGUGAAGGACACACAGGGUAGGCUGAGAGCACACCUUUCAGGAACACCCACCUUUAAAGGAUAGAUGAAGAAAGGAUUGCCAUACGAGGAGACAAGAAAGUGAUGUUCUGAGGAAAACGAAGUCUGAGAAAGUGUGUCACAGAAACCAAAAAAGAGAAAGUACCAAGGAAAGAAGAGGAUUCGCAGGGUUAAACAUUCCCAACGUGUCAGACAGAAUGCUCUGAAAAUGGAAGCCUUGAGUUAAUAGUUGGGGGUGCACAGGUGGCCAUGCUGGAGCUGUUUCUUCAGAGAAGGACGAGCGGAGGCCACGCUGUUGUGAGUUGAAAUUAAACGUAAAGUCUUAACCUUGCCUUUGAAAGAUCAACUCAUCUGACUAACUCUUCUGAGGAGGCUGAAAAUAAAAAGACAGUGCUGAAGUUAAUAUUACUUUUAGGACAAGGAAAAUCAUGAGUGGUAUACAGACAGUGGUGUAUGGGUCUACCAGGUGCCUAACCUUCCCUGUAACUAUGCCCAGGGGAGCCUAUUCCAGUCACUAAUGCUGCUAACGAGUCACUCUAAAAUGUGGUGAGUAAAGCAACAGUGACUGUAUUGUGUCUCAUAGCAUCUGCGCUUUGAAGACGGAAGAGCUCCUCUGGCUUGUGGUUUCUCAAUGAAUUGCCCACAGGUGGUGGCUGAAGCUGAGACCACAGGAAAGGAAUGGCUACGUCCUGGCCAGGCACCCAGGCACCUCUAUCUGAUCUCUCUGCAUGGAUUAGUUAGGGCUUCCUCCCCAGCUAAUGGGGAAGGUGCUUGAAGGCAGAAAUCUGUUUCCAUGAAAACCGAGCUCUUCAAAAGCAAGUAUCCCCGUGGUCAUCACCUUUCUGGACCCAGCCCAGGGAAGCACACAAGUUACUUCUGCUGCACUGUCCAGGUUACAGGGCCUGUCUAUGUGGGUGUCAUAGACCCAGGCCAUCCUGUUGUCGAGGCCAGGGGAAAGCUUCCCCUUUAUGCUCUGCAGGUUUGCUGAAAAAUCAACUCACGAAGGAGACUAAUAGGAGAAAAGACAGGCAAAUUUAUUUGAUCUUAGUGGAGUCUUCAGACUGCGGACCCAGAGAUGCAGGGGAAAUUGUCCAUUUUUAUGCUUAGGUUCAACAACGUAUGGACAGCUGUGUGGAAAUAGGAUUAAACAAAAAGGGUGUGAUCUAGUGCUGAGACACUGGGUGGACUGAGACACUGAGUGGGGGCACCCAGCAAGGCCUGACAUGCAGAUUCUUCCUGGCCUCUCUGGGCAUCAUCCCUCCCCUCUGGUGUGGGGCAGGGCCCUCUCUGCAAUGGGGUCUCAUGACCUGCAGUCAAAGUCGGUCGGAGAGUGUCUUUAUUGCCAGUUUUGCAUGGAAUUGAGGGGGCAAAGCUGGAAUAAUAUUUUAGGUUUUAUGGCUGGCAUAGGGCAAAAGGGAUUCUGGUUUCUAUAACCUGCUUUGUGGAAGAGGGAUUCCAGUUUCUAUGGCUGGCCUCAGGGGAGAAUGAGACUGAGAUAGGUGGGCAGGAGACAGGGAAAAACAUUUGUUUCUGAGGACUUCAUUUUGGGUUAUUGUUUUCUGAGUCCCAAUACUAUAUACUACUUUAUCUUACAAAUGUACUACAAUUUUUUAUAUUGUCCUCUUAUUGAUAAAAUAUAGGUUCUUCAUACUGUUCACAAAGAUGGUUUAUUGUUAUUUAUGCUGAAAGUUUCUGUCUUAAAAUAAGACUGACUUAUUUUCUUUUUUAUUAAUAUUGUAAAAUAAUAUAGUUUCUAUGACCUGGUUUUGUGGGUUCUAAUUUUUCAUAUUUUUACUUUGUUUUCUAUUUCUCCUUCCUCUGCCCACUGUUGUAUAGAUUGCAUUUCCUUAAUUCUUAAUUCCCAUACUGGCUUUCUCCGGUUUGAAAUUAAAGCAGUAUACUUUUAUAUUUACCCUGAAAUGGUCAACAUGCAUGCUUAUCUUUGGAAAGACUAAAGUGGCUCAGUAUCUUUGUCAUCUUCCCAAACAAUACAAUUCUAUACUCUUCUCAUCUUCCAUAUUUUUGAGAUGUAGAAUUUAAUAUUCAUUUUUCUAAAAGUUUCACCAAAAUUGUCUUAAGGUUUCUUUUCAAUUCCAAUCAAUACCAAUCUAAAUGUAACAAGUUUUACCAACUUCUAUGUAUACAAUUACUUUCUAUCUAUUUCUUCUUCUGGGUUUUUCAUUGUUGAAGCACAUCUUUGGGGAGAAUUUUCAGCAAGCCUCUGUGAGCGGUAAACUCAGUCUUUCAUGUCUGAAAUUGCCUUUGUUUUUCCUUACAAUGAUUGCAUUGCCACCUGACAUUUACCAAUGCCAGAGACAAAUCUGUUGUCUUGUUCCUUUGCAAGUAACCUGCAGUGUUCCUCUGUUUUGGAUGGUUCAACUCUGUACCGCAGUGUGUCUAAGUGGGAAUUUGCUUUUAUUCGUGCUGCUUGAAACUUAAUAUAAAUCUUCAGUCUGAGCACUCACAUCUUUCUUUAAUUCUAGAAAACUCUCAUCAAAUUUAUUUAGAAGAUUGCAUCUUAACCAUUGUCUCAAUUCCCUGCUUUGAACUUCGAAUAGAUAAUGGCUGGAGCCUUGGCUUCUCUCCUCCACUUUUCAAAUUCUCUUUCAUAUUUUCUAUCUCUUUUCCUCACUGGUCUCUAUAUUCAGUCAUUUCCUCUUGUCUAUAUCUCAGUUAACUAAGUCCACUAAUUUACUAAGCCCACUAAUACUUUAUUCAAUUUAUAUAAUGUGUAAAAUAUCUGAUUUUUUAAAACACGAAAUUGUAUUUUUAAGAAAAUCUUGUUAUUAUUUUAUAUUUUUUCCUUUCUCUUUGAUAUUUCAAAUCUCUUCAGAAGUUCACUUUUGGAAUAUAGGCCUCCUGUUUUUAUGCUGACGACCUCUCGUUAGGAAUUCUCUCCCAUCCAUAUCGUGUGAAAUUGGACUCUAUCAUUCUUGGCAUGUGCUUGGAAUCCCAGUUCUGUGUGGAUCCUGUUGUGUCUUUUGAACAAUGCGCAGUUUUUCUAGUUUCCACUUCACAGAGGAAGUACAAGGGUUCAAACAUUUGCCCUUUUACCAACUCUCAGGGUGGUUCUGGGCAAAUUACUGAAAUUCUCUAAUUCUGAUUUCUAAUUCUCAUUUCUGGUUAAUUCUCUAAAGGCUUCUCUGCUUGGUCAUGCUUUCCUUUGUAAUUUGUCUCCCUCUUUCUUUCUUUUUCCAAAGAAACCACAUAAACCACUCAAAAAUGGGAUUGCUCCACCUAUCCUCAUUUCUUUUCUACUCAUUACUACAUUAACUGUGAGUAAAUUGAGUUCUUUCAUUAAAUAUAUCUAAGUCUAGGAAAUUGCAACAUUGAGACUCGUUUUCCCAUUUGAAACACUUGGACGUGGCUUCAGUGGUCUUCAUUGGCCUUUGUGAAGCUGGUUGAAAAUGAUGUUUGGGGAAGUCUUGGCAGCUAAGUGCCUUGGUGGUUCCUGACAGGUCUCUGUGACUUUACCAUCGCGCACCCAACAGGAAACCUGAAUAAGAGCUGCAGAUGAGCAAAGUCCAACAGCGGGUCUUAGCUGAGAACCUGCUUAAAGCCUCCCAGUGAAAACCGGAAGAAGCCUUUGGGUUGAUGUGGAGUCACUUCCAUAGAGCUAGAGAUGAAACCUAAAUGGCUCAGCCCUGGCUUUAGGUUUGGCCUAGAUGGUUUGAACCUAUUCUAAAAUAUUAACCUGACCUCAGGAUUUCACUGUCACAUCUAGCUUUACACUCAGAAAAACUGAGGUCAGGUUAAUAUUUAAGAAAUAGAUGUGUCAGUUUCCUUAUCUUAUUCUUAGAUACAAACAAUAGAAUAGUAUUUCAUCCUUUAAUUGAAGUAUUUUAGUUAUUUAUAUAUUCUAAGUGGAUGACUAAUAAUUCCAUUUAUUGGUCUCAUGGCUAGAAGAUUUAUACCACCUAUUUUGGCAUAUAAUGUGUACAAUUUCCCUGACAUGGAUAAUAUAUGGAAGAUUGUAGAAAGCAAUAAGAAUGCAAUGCAAUAAAUAUUAAAAUGCUGUAUCAUUCUAUUAGUAUAUUAAAGUAAUAUAAUUACUUGAUGUGUUUCUUUCCAAGUAUCAUUGUAACUUGCUUUAGAAUAUACCUUAAAUAUGUUAUAUAUUUUUAUAUAACAUAGCAAUUUAUGACUCAAUACUCUAAGAAUUAUGAAUUGCAUCAAUAGGCAUUUGAAUCUACUCAUCUUGUUUAUUGCUCAUUUGUGUAUUACUCUGGGAAUUGUGGCACAUUUUAGUCCUAUUAUGUGUGGAAACAAAUCAUAGUUUUGAACAUGUAAAGGUGUAAAGCCAGCUCAACAAGAAAGUUGCUAUCAAGAAACAUAUUCUUUUCACAGUUUGAAUGGGUAGCACCAAAGAACUAGCUGGCAAAAUAAAACAAAAAAAUGUAGAAAUAAUCCCAUGUAGCAAACAAGCAGCAAGAACACUUAGCCGGAAAGAAUAUAACCAAACGUUGAUUUUUAUGUUCUACAAAACUAAAAAGGUUACUUUCAACAUAUUUUCCCACAGCAUGAAAAAAUUACUCUUUUUCUUUCAUUAUUUAUAACUAACUACCCUUUAGAAACUUGAAACUGGUUUUUUGAGGGUCAUUCAAGAACUGCAAGAAUACAAAUGAAUUACUUUGCCCUUUAAAAGAAAGAGAUUUGUAAAACAUAUUGUGGCAUUGUUUGGAAUCAUUGGAGAAAUCAAAUACAUGAUGCAUAUAGAUACAAAAAUGGAAAAAGUUUGUUAAAUAUUUCCCUUAAAAAUACCUAGAUGAAACGAAUCUACCUUUGUGUUUGACCUGUUAACACAAUCAUAUGUAAGCCGUAAGAGAAAUAGUUUCUCUUAAAAUAAAAUACAAAAAGUUCCUCUGAUGCUAUAGUAUUUUAAUAAACAUUUCCCUAUUUCCUAUGAAACAGUUUGCAGCAAAUGCCUGAAAAUAACGUAUUUCCUUAUUAAACAAAUAAAGCCAUAAACAACUUGAGUGCAACAUCUACACUGUUGUACAGAAGGGGUGGAAUACGUGUGGAUGAAGAUAAUUUGCAAACCACAGCCCUGUGUUACUAAUGGCUGGCACAACUGGGAGCUGAAGGAUUUCAAAUGCCUCACACAGCUUCAAGUUAACUUCAGGCUGAUCAGCUAGCCCUGUGAUUAAUUAUCGGAGGAAAGUAUUGGUAGAGGUUUAAAAUGUACACGUCUUCAUGUUGAAAGAUAUACUCAAUGUUAAGAAUGUUUAAAAUGUACAAUACAUAGAGAUAUUUGGGAAAAAAGCUGUCUCACUGUUACUUUAAUGCAGUAACAAAAGACACUGUCAUACAAAGCAAAGAGGAGUGUCAAUAUUGUGCACGUAUGUCCAGCUUCUUUUUUAGAAUUCUGCAUUUGGUGUUGCAUAUAACGGCAAUGCUAUUAGGAAGGAAGCUUUUUCCAAACUGUUUCUGGAUCUGUCUCACAGUUUGAAUUCUCA
Molecule: long non-coding RNA, 6228 nt
Filed under: Homo sapiens (human)
Lineage: Eukaryota; Metazoa; Chordata; Mammalia; Primates; Hominidae
Description: HSALNT0082650
Source: RNAcentral